CCCCCACCCCACCACACCUUUCCUCUACGGAGCUGUUCCCUCAAAAUGGAAAUUCACCGGAGAGAGAAGAAAGAGCAGUGCAAACUGGCUGCGUUGUGAAUCCCAGCGGCUGCCGUGGCUCGCAUCUCCCGUGAGCCUACUCUGUGCCAGCAGCCUGCCAGGCGCUACAGACCAUGCACGGCCCUUCCCAGAAGAGAGUGGUGAGGCUGACCUUGGCACACGGCUAGGCGUCCCUUCUUAAGGAAAUUCUUGGAGAGGGAGGAAAAAUACUAGCGGACCCACCGUCAGGCUGCCUCUAAAGGACAGAGCUACAGGACAGCUACCGUGGGGACAAAGUCUCUCUAGAGGCGGGCUCUGGCUUCCCAGCGCAGCGCACAGACCCAGGAGAUGUACACGCCAACAACGCAUGUCCCCACUGUUCUGGAGGCUGAAAGUCCCAGAUCAAGGUGUCAGCAGGUUUGGUUCCUUUGAGGCCUCUCUCCUUGGCCCACAGAUGGCUGCCUUCUCCUUGGGUUCUCUCAAGGUCCACCCCCUUAGGCUGUUGUCGCAUUAAACACCUCGCCUGCCGGUGUGGCCCAUAUCUAAGCGCCCUCAUUCACAAAUAUUAGUGUGAAGCUCCUUCUCAGCCACUUCAGAUGGGAUCCAUAAACUCAUUUCCAGUGAUCCAGCACCGGUAAAACCAAAUGUGGGAGUUGGGGAGGGGGAGCCAAACCCUUCUCUGACAUCAGGAUAACUCCUCUGGUGCAAAGAGAGUGAGCUACAAGUAUAGACAGGAGACUUAAAGUCCCUGGUAUCAUUGUCAGGGGAAGUGAAGGGGAAAAAAUGAAAGCAAAAGCCGAGGUGCUGGAGCUGGCUGGGCCCCAAAAACCUCACCUUGGACUACACCAGCUCACUGCACAUUUUUCCUUCAUUGUCCAAGUCUCCCUGAUAAGCAUUAAUGAGAGCUAGAGGUGGAUUUUCUUCAGGAAGCAUUUCACCAAAAUAAAACUACUUUUUGCUUCUUGCUGAACUUCUGG
RNAcentral lists this long non-coding RNA (1016 nucleotides) under Vulpes vulpes (red fox). Its description in RNAcentral is "lncRNA (ENSVVUG00000003627.1)". The record is from RNAcentral. Lineage: Eukaryota; Metazoa; Chordata; Mammalia; Carnivora; Canidae.